CAAGUAGUCGACUUGAGCUACAACUCUGAGCUUAUGGAUUUGCUGAGUUCCAUUUCUAACUUGGAAAGUCUUAGAGCACUCUCACUUCGAGGAUGUAGUCGGCUCAAAUCUGUGCCACCACUGGGAAAGCUCAAAAAUCUGAGGGUGUUAGAUGUAUUAAGGAAGUACCUCAAGGAAUGGAAAACUUAGUCAAGCUUAAAUUUCUGGAUAUGGGUAGAACAGGUCUUGAUGAACUGCCGAAGGAGAUAUUUCCUAGGCUUUCCCAGCUUCAAUACCUCAAUCUUCCUGGAUGUAUGAAUGCCCCAGGUGAAGACUUGGCCGGCUUGGAACUGCUCGAAGAAUUCGGAGGCAGGUUCGGCGAUUUGCAUAACUUUCACAAGUUCAUGAGUAGUCGCCAUAACUAUGAGAAAGAUUGGUGGUAUGACAUAUUGGUGGGGCCAACAAAGGCCAGUGUUCGUCUUAAUAACUGCCUAUGGAAACUGAGAAGAGUGAUUGUAGGAGAUUGCACCAUUGAAGCAGGUGGAGGAGAAGCAGCAACAUCAAUUUUUAUUCCACUUGGCAUUGACAUUCUAGAGAUUAGUUCUUGCCAUGGGCUGAGUAGCUGCUUUGUGGACAAUUUUCUGCCACGGACUACUUUAAGAGGCUUGACCUGCAGCAUCUCUGAUUGUGGUGACAUUGAAUGGAUCGUCAACGAGCCCUCUGGUAGAGAUACCACUACAGACCCACACUGCAUAUCUUUCGAUAGUCUGAAAGUUUAUGACUUGCAAAAUCUUGUUGGGCUCUGUAAGGGAAAAAUUGCAUCUCACACCUUCUCGGGUCUAAUAAAAUUGAAAAUCCAGGACUGCGAUAGGAUGAAGAAGUUGUUUCCACGGGCUAUCUUGCAGGAUCUCAAGAGCCUUGAGAAGCUUGUUAUAAGUCGGUGUUAUAAGAUGGAAGAGAUAAUAGGAAGAGAGGGAAGUAGCCAAAACAGCAGCAGUACAUCUAUUACUGUUGACCUUCCUAACCUAAAACAGCUCGACCUGCACUACCUGCCUGAAUUGAAGAGUAUCUGUGAGGGAAAACUGAUGUGUGAUUCCCUUGAAUACAUGAGCUUUCUUGAGUGCCCCAAACUGAAGAGGAUGCCUUUCUAUACUCUAACUGCAAAUGAACAUCCUUUUCCAUCCCUUGGAGCAAUCAGAGUUUGUGAUGAAAAUUGGUGGGAAACAUUGGAGUGGGAACAAUCCCAUGUCAAGAUCCUCUUCCAAACUUACAUUAAAUGGCUUGUCAUUGAGGUUAGUUAGUUACCUAGUUAGGCGUUGAGGUUCGCUGGCUCAGCAAUAAUCAAUCUUUUUCUCUGCAUGCAAUGACCAUUCUUUACUCUUUUCCUUUUUACCCCAAACAAAUGCAUUGUAUUGUCAUUCAUUGUGUAUUAAAUCUAUAUAUUGUGAAUAGGUAGGUUUUAAAAAAAUAUAUGUAUAGUAUAGAUUGUAUGUUUAAUUCCCUAAUUCGUGUGCUUAUUAUUAUUAUUUUAUAUUUUAACUGUCCAUAGUGAAAAUCAUGGCUCCACUACUACUCAGUCUGUUAUUUUUAUGAGUUCAAAUUAAUGUUGGAUAGUUGGAUAAAUAUACUAGUAACAACAACAGAGAUCAAAUUAUGCCUAUGUAAGUUGCACAAAGCUUAAUCAAGAUAAAUCUUGUGUCCAUAUUGUAAUUUGAGCUAAAAUGAAUUGGAUUAUAAUUCAUCCAUGUGUUACAUGGAUUUGCUAAAGUAUGGACUAGAUAAAAUGACUCCAACCCAUUUUGAUCUCCUGAUUCCUAAAAACAUUUUUAGGCUAAAUUAUUUAGCUGCAAAACUAGCUGUAAAACUAGUAUACGUGCUCGCGCGUUGCGUGGACAAUAUUAAAAAAUUAUAAUCUUCUUUAUUUGAUCAUAUUAAAUUCCUAUUAUUAUUAAUUCGAAGCUCACAACUUAUCUUUAGUACAACAAUAUAACCUUCACAGUCGAAUUCAACACAACUUCUUGUCUUCACUUUCAAGAUUAUCUAUUUAGUUUACUAUAUGUAGUUAAUUUAACUGAGUAAUUUCAAAUGUUUUGUGCUUUAAUUGUAUGGAAAAAAAAAAUACAUUGUCAAUAUUCUGAAAACAACAUAAAAAUAUGGAUAGGAGAUAAGUUCUCAACUUUACACACAUUAUGACACUAAAAUGUAAAAUUUCAUGUUGUAAGAUUAAGCCUAUUUAAAAAGAUAUAAUCUCUAGUUUAUGUUUGACAAAGUAUUCCAUUAUACAAAGUUUGAUUGGUUUAUUUUUAAACAUCCCCUCAUGAAAAGUCUUUUCUUACUUAUCGUAUGUUCAACUAUAUUAAAUUUUUUUGAUUCUCAAAAUUCAUCCAUCAGAAAUAUACAGUGAUAUCAUGUAUGUAUGAAGGAAACAAAGGACGUCAAUAAACUAACACAUAAACUGUCUCUUUCAGAUGAACAUAUUCAUUCUCCUCAUCAUAUAAAGUAUGUUUUAAACUUGCUUUUAGUUACAGUUAAUAUAGCAGUUUGGGACAAUAGUCAAAUUGACGGUAGUUAGUAUGUCCUGGUAUGACAUAAUUUACGCUGCAUGAGCCAAAUAAUGAUAAUUAUUAUUAAAAUGUCAAAAUUGCAAGAUUGACGGCUAGAGCUCAUUCUAAUAUAGGACAAAACGUUUGCUGUAUCUGUCUGACACUAGUGAAGAUGGUCAAGCUGGAUUACAAAAAAAUAGUUAUUUUUUUUGAAUCAUAUAAGGUAGUUAAGUGCUAGUGGCAAAGAGAUGAGAGUUGCUGCCUUGAUGGCGCGGGUUUGAACCACUUCCUUCCCAGUGGUUGUGUACCACUUAGAUGUGCAUUAAUGUGGAGAUUGUCAUAUGAGAAAAUAGCAAAGUCAGUUUCCUUUGCUCCAUGGAAGUACAAACAUCACGCCAUCAGCACCCACAAAUCUGGGAUCGUAGCAUAGAGCGCCAUAACCAUCAUACCUAGAUUGUAGCCUUUGAACUUCCUGCUAUUUUCCGAUACUUAGAUUCAUAUGCAAUAUACAAGCUACUGCACCAUCGAAGGCUUUAACUAUUUACUGCCAAAUUAUAUGCAGUGAAAAAAUUAAGAUAGAAUUUCCACUUAAGCUGACAAUCAUGAGAUAUGAGAUCGAAUUUGAAAACAACAUUAAAUCAAACAAACAAAAAGACAAAUGCGAGCUCCCAAUUUCGAGAAUGAGAAUAAAACAGAAAUUCAACGACAAAAUAUAACAAAAAACUUCAUCACUCUGCUGUUACUCAGGCUUAGGGCGUCUUAGAUAAGUCCUCCGCUUGAUUCUCCAUUAGUCCAGAUGAAAUGAAAGAAUGUAACUCACACUGAUAUACACAAAGUGACAGAAGUUUGAAGGCUGCAUUUAAUAUACAUAUUGGGUACUUAAAAUUAAAGGAAUUUGCAUAAAUGAUUAUGAAAAAGUACAAACCCGAUAAUGGAUAAUUUUACCAAAUCGACUAAAGGCAUCUUCGAGCUGAUAAAUCUAUAAUGUCCCAUGAUAAACCCAUGUGACUUUUCCAGUUUCUUUCAUCACAAAAAUUCAGAAUUGAUCUUAUCAUAAAUAGAGAAUUCAUAUUGAAAUCCAACAUAACCACCAAUCUUAAGCUUAUAUAUAAGACCGCAAAAAUCACAUACUCAAAUCAACAGCAAAAGGCAUGGUCAGGGGAAGGGCCUAUCACAAGGGUGUAAUGUACGCAGCCUUCAAUUAUGCUUAGUUCCCGAUAAGGCUCAGGACAUGCAGAUCUGCAAACAUUUCAGAAAUUAACAAUCGGUCUGCCAACAACAUCUAACCAAAAAAAAAAGACAGCCCGGUGCACUAAAGGUCACGCUAUUCGCAUGGUCAGGGGAAGGGCCCACCACAAGGGUGUAAUGUACGCAACCUUCUCUUGCAUUUCUGCCAAAGUAUAUUUCAAAGGUUUAAACCCGUGACCUCCCAGUCAUAUGACAACAACUUUAACCGAAAAAUGAUGUACUGACAAACAAAGAAACCCCAAAUGCAAAAUAUGAUAGAGCAAGACCACAUUAUUCCCAACAAUUAACAAAUCAGAUAUGCAAACAUAAUUGAAAUAAAAGGUAUAGAAAAUUACCAAUUAAACUGUCAAAAGUUGUUCAGUAAUAAAUAAUUUCGAUAAAAUAAAAGAGAUGGAGAAAUAUGCGCCAGAAGAUUAAACUCGGUGUGUCUUGCCUUUGCGAAUCGCCAAAGACACCCUUAACGGUUCUUAUAGAACAAUCAAGUUUGAUACUACCUCCUCUAUCCAGCAUUAGAGAUUUCUCCAAGUAGUUAGAAUUUUCUUAAUCAAAUCGUCAUUUCUGCAUAAAAUCUACCCUUUCCAAACCCCAUUUGAUGAAAUUAUAAUGGGUACGUUGUUGUUGUUGACUACAAAAGUUCAAAGUUGCAUUUUUUUAACAUACGUUGUAAGGAGGUAUGUAAGCUUUCUGUUUGUUCCUCCAUCGAUUACUUUUUCAUUACUAAAUGACUAUACAAAGCAUCCAAGAAUUAACCAGUUUAUAAAUUAACAUAUUGGGCCAGUGCUGACCACGGGCCUUGCCCAUCUAGUACUACAUAUAAAUGAAGUAAAAAUAACAUAAAUCUCAACCUUAUUAAAAUUAUUUACACUCUCUUCACUUCCUUAAUUACUUUACUCUCUUUUUCGAUUCAUAUACAUAACAAAACCGACAUAUACAUAGAAACAUUUGUAUAUGACAAGGCCAACAUAUAUAUACCAAGGCCGAUUCAUAUGCAUGACAAGUAUGACAAAGCCGACAUAUACAUAGAAAGCUAUGGAUAUGCAUUUUUAGAGAAAAAUGAGAUUUUUAUAAUAUGUUUGGAGAUAUGAGAUUUUUUGUAAUAAGCGAAACUUAAGUUGUUGAUUUGUAUAAUUUUUAAAUAAAUGAAAGGUAUGUGUUUGGACUCUCAUCAUUUGUCCUUUCAUUAUAUCUAACUGUUACAUCAUACAUGUUACAUAAAGUUGUAAAUAUGGCUGGGUUGUUUAUGUUGGAUAUCAAAAUUCUAGAGAUUGAAAAUGUUAUAUUAGACAUUGUCAAACAAAUAAAAAAUUGCAUUUAACUUUGUCACAAUUCACAAGGAAGCAAGGAUAUUUUCUUGUAAUUGUUUACAUUUGGAAAAAAAAAAAACUAAGGAAGACAAUCCAAUUAAGAUAUACUAUUUGAGUUCCUCAGACUGGCUGAAAAAAUGAAUCUAUGCUGCAAAAAAUUAGAUGCAUAAAUUCAAAAUAUAUUUCCGUUAAGAGCAAGAAGUUUCAGUUAUCCCAAAUAUCAGUGAGUCAAUUCUGCUAAGAAACCCACAUCAGAAUAAUUAGAUGUGUUUUAAUAAAUAGUUGGUCAUAGUUUAGGAAUGAAACUCAAAUACACAUAAUAAUUCAGGUAUGAAACACAAAAAAUCGAGAUAUUUCAGGUAUGUUUUAACUCUUUCACUCUAAAAACAAUGAUGAAACUUUGCAUAUCAGUGUCCAGAACCAUAAAUUUAAAAUCCUGAAUUCGCCACAUAUUUGAUUCCUUUAUUCUUUUUAUUCCUUUAUUUCUCAAGUUUCCUUAAUUCUUUCUAUUCCUUUAUUCUCAAGUUUCCUUUAUUCUUUUUAUUCCUUUAUUCUCAAGUUUCGUUAAUUCUUUUUAUUCCUUUAAAGAAUUAAGGCCUUGACUUAAACCAACCAGUCCAUUUACAGCACGUGUUACAGGAUGAGAAUGUCUCAAGCAUCGGAAUAUAUGGUAUGGGAGGGGUGGGUAAAACCACUUUGGCAAAACAUAUACAUAAUCGUCUUGUUAAUGACCAUCGUUAUCAAGUCCGCUGGCUUACUGUCUCGCAAGGGUUUAGCAUCAAAGGAUUACAAGAUAAGCUAGCCAAAUUUGUGAAUCUAGAUCUUUCAAAUGAAGAGGAUGAACAUAGGUCAGCCAAAUUAAACCGGGCAUUCCCAAAAACGAAUAAAAUGGUUAUCAUAUUGGAUGAUGUCUGGGAUCGCCUUUCCUUGGAGAAGUUAGGUGACCCUCUUGGUGUAGAGGGUUAUAAGCUGAUUCUAACAACUCGCUCAUAUGAAGUCUGCCUAAAGAUGGGUUGUCAGAAACUACUCGAAGUGAAGACCCUGAAUACUGAUGAUGCUUGGGAGCUGUUCAAGAAGGGUCUAGGAUUUGAGACUCAGCUUAGUCCAGAUAUCGAGAGAGUUGCCAAAUCCAUGGCAGGAAGGUGUGAGGGCUUGCCGCUCGGGCUUAUCACUUUGGCGGGAAGCACGAGAGGGGUGACCGAUAUAAGGGAGUGGCGGAAUGCUCUGAACGAAUUCCCUGAGGACAUGGAAAGCGAUGUCUUCAAGGUACUGAAGUAUAGUUACGAUCGGUUGAGAGAUAAAACUAUGCAAGAGUGCUUCUUGUAUUGUGCUUUGUAUCCCGAGGAUGAUGUAAUUGAGAGAGAUGAACUAAUUGGCCGAUUUAUCAUGGAGGGACUGGUGAAGGGAAAUAGUAGGGAAGAAGAGUUUAACCGUGGCCAUACCAUAUUGAAUAAACUAGUCAAAGCUCUGGUUACUUGAAGCACCUGAUUACGACACGGGAUAUGAAGCAGUAAGGAUGCAUGAUCUACUCAGAGAAAUGGCAUUGCGGAUCACAACUGAUAAACCACGGUACAUGGUAAGGGCCGGAAUAGGACCACUAGUGUUGGAGGAGCAGGAUUGGGUGUUCGAUUUGGAUAGAGUCUCUUUUUACGACAACGAGAUAAAGAGAAUCCCUGAAGGCAUGGCACCCAAUUGCCCCACAUUAUCAACCUUGAUUUUGUCUAAUUGUGAUUUGACAAUGAUCCCAGGUCCUUUCUUUCAGUACAUGAACAAGCUCCAAGUACUCAACUUGAGCGACAACUCUAAGCUUAUGGAUUUGCCGAGUUCCAUUUCUAACUUGAAAAGUCUUAGAUCACUCUCGCUUUGUGGAUGUGAGCAGCUAAAAUAUGUGCCACCACUGAGAAAGCUCAAAAAUCUGAGGGUGUUAGAUGUAUUUGACACUGGUAUUAAGGAAGUACCUCAAGGCAUGGAAAACUUAGUCAAGCUUAAAUUUGUAGAUACGAGUGGAACAGAUCUUGAUGAACUGCCGAAGGAGAUAUUACCUAAACUUUCCCAUCUUCAAUACCUCAAU
RNAcentral lists this long non-coding RNA (7145 nucleotides) under Capsicum annuum. RNAcentral's name for it is "long non-coding RNA (CANN_LNC013419)". Lineage: Eukaryota; Viridiplantae; Streptophyta; Magnoliopsida; Solanales; Solanaceae. The record is from RNAcentral.